Molecule: ribosomal RNA, 1512 nt
Filed under: Lecanicephalidea gen. n. 5 sp. n. 1 AW-2013
Lineage: Eukaryota; Metazoa; Platyhelminthes; Cestoda; Lecanicephalidea
Description: eukaryotic LSU rRNA
Rfam family: Eukaryotic large subunit ribosomal RNA
Source: RNAcentral
ACCCGCUGAAUUUAAGCAUAUCACUAAGCGGAGGAAAAGAAACUAACCAGGAUUCCCCUAGUAACGGCGAGUGAAGAGGGAAUAGCCCAGCACCGAAGCCUGCGGUAGUUUUACUGUUAGGCAAUGUGGUGUUUGGGUCGGCUCGUGGGAUUGCCACUCCAUUCGAAGUCCAGCAUUGAGUAUGGUUCACUGGAAUUGGCCCAGAGAGGGUGAAAGGCCCGUACGAAUGGAGGUUCAGACAAGUAAGGCAAUUCACCAGGCCGGCCUUCGAGUCGGGUUGUUUGGGAAUGCAGCCCAAAGUGGGUGGUAAACUCCAUCCAAGGCUAAAUACAAGCACGAAUCCGAUAGCGAACAAGUACCGUGAGGGAAAGUUGAAAAGUACUUUGAAAAGAGAGUAAACAGUACGUGAAACCGCAUAGAGGUAAACGGGUGGCGUCAAGCUGUUAGCCCGAAGGAUUCAGUCGGCAAGGUUGUUGUGUAUGUGCCAAGCGCAUCUAUCAGUCGGAAUAAGUAUCAGUAGUCCACUGGAAAACGGUGGGCCCGGCUUCGGUCGGGAUUUGUGUACCGGGUGGAUGCCGGAGCAAGCUACUGGUCUGUUGGACUGCCUUGUCGGUGCACUUCCUUCGUGGUGAACACCACGACCGGUGGUACUGCCAGUCUGCUAUAGCCAAGUCGUAUGUGACCGAUUCUCGUAGUUGGUUGUAUGCGAUCACAGGCAAUUUGAUGGCCGGCGUAAGUCUGCUUCGGUAGGCUUGCGUGUUAUCGUUCAUCGGUUGUCAACGGGCCGGUUAAUGGUUGUUGUAUCCGCCAUUUACUGGUCUGGUGGGCUAUAGUGGUAAGAAUAACUGUGCAGGGCAUCGGAGUUUUCGGUCUCAAAUGCAGAUUGCAUCCAUGAUACAAGUGGAAGCAAGGGGCAGUGUUGCAGCCUGCCUAUCCUUGGGUCUGAUUAUCGUGUCGCCUGCGAAAAGUAGGCCCGGUAGUGGCUCGAGGUGGGAUGGAGUUGUUAGCAUUGUCUCGUGUGCAGUCUGUGGUGGACCAAAUAGUCUGUGGUGUAGUGGUAGACGAGCUACCCGACCCGUCUUGAAACACGGACCAAGGAGUUUAACAUGUAUGCAAGUCAAUGGGUCUUACGAAACCCAAAGGCGCAGUGAAAGUGAAGCUUCGACUUGUCUCGGAGUGAGGUGAGAUCUUGUCGUUACUCGCACAUGUCAGCACUUGGCAUAGAGCGGCAGGCGCAUCACCGGCCCGUCCCAUGAUGUGGUCAUUGGAUUUCUGCAGUACUUGCUUGCAAUUGCUGUAGUGCCAGUGCGUCAUCGGGGCGGUGCAUGAGCAUACACGUUGAGACCCGAAAGAUGGUGAACUAUGCUUGCGUAGGUUGAAGCCAGAGGAAACUCUGGUGGAGGACCGCAGCGAUUCUGACGUGCAAAUCGAUCGUCAAACGUGAGUAUAGGGGCGAAAGACUAAUCGAACCAUCUAGUAGCUGGUUCCCUCCGAAGUUUCCCUCAGGAUAGC